Molecule: ribosomal RNA, 501 nt
Filed under: uncultured bacterium
Lineage: Bacteria
Description: partial 16S ribosomal RNA
Rfam family: Bacterial small subunit ribosomal RNA
Source: RNAcentral
AUUGAACGCUGGCGGCAGGCUUAACACAUGCAAGUCGAGCGGAGAUGAGGUGCUUGCACCUUAUCUUAGCGGCGGACGGGUGAGUAAUGCUUAGGAAUCUGCCUAUUAGUGGGGGACAACAUUCCGAAAGGGAUGCUAAUACCGCAUACGUCCUACGGGAGAAAGCAGGGGCUCUUCGGACCUUGCGCUAAUAGAUGAGCCUAAGUCGGAUUAGCUAGUUGGUGGGGUAAAUGCCUACGAAGGCGACGAUCUGUAGCGGGUCUGAGAGGAUGAUCCGCCACACUGGGACUGAGACACGGCCCAGACUCCUACGGGAGGCAGCAGUGGGGAAUAUUGGACAAUGGGGGGAACCCUGAUCCAGCCAUGCCGCGUGUGUGAAGAAGGCCUUAUGGUUGUAAAGCACUUUAAGCGAGGAGGAGGCUACUGAGACUAAUACUCUUGGAUAGUGGACGUUACUCGCAGAAUAAGCACCGGCUAACUCUGUGCCAGCAGCCGCAGUAA